UAGUGUUACAGCUCUUUUAGAAUUUGUCUAGCAGGCUUUCUGUUUUUUGCUAAAAUCCUCC
This is a small nuclear RNA of Colobus angolensis palliatus, 61 nucleotides long. Its record names the gene U7. It matches the Rfam family "U7 small nuclear RNA". From Rfam's summary of the family: Animal histone pre-mRNAs are spliced by a different mechanism than nuclear pre-mRNAs and self-splicing introns. NCBI's taxonomy places the organism in Eukaryota, Metazoa, Chordata, Mammalia, Primates, Cercopithecidae. The record is from Ensembl.